This 1029-nucleotide long non-coding RNA is filed under the name Anas platyrhynchos platyrhynchos (common mallard). RNAcentral's name for it is "lncRNA (ENSAPLG00000019653.1)". The record is from RNAcentral. Lineage: Eukaryota; Metazoa; Chordata; Aves; Anseriformes; Anatidae.
AUGCCUGCAAUAAUGCGCCCCCGUCGCGGAUCCACGUGGGCUGGCGGGGGCCCCACGCCUGCGCGUGCGUGGCGGCGCGCAGCAGACGUGCGCGGGACCGGGAGGGCACCCGGGGCUCUGCUCCGAGCUCAUCCCGAAUCCUCAUCCUGCUCCCACCACCGGGCACCUCGUGCUUGGGUCCACAACCCCGGGCGCUGGCUGGGGUCACGGUGCCGGGGCUCGGCAGCUGCGAACCGUCCCCUCUGCGUGCUCGUCGCGGGGAGCUUCUGCCUGAAUAAGCCCCGGUUCCUCGGCGGCACAGGGAAACCCAAGAAGUGCCGAGCAGCCAGCUGCCUGCUUCGUUGCACGGCGUGUGCUCGCCCCGUCUGGGAGCGUGGAGAGCUCCGAGGGUGCCUGGCAGCGGGUCAGACAAAGCCCGUGCCCGUCCACGUGGACGCUCACCGUGGCGUGGGGGAUUGGAGAUGCAAACCCCAAGCCCCAGCGCAGCUCCCUGCUCUGCCUUUGCUCAGAGCAUCAUGCAGAAAAAGCAAAAGCAAAGCCCCUCGGGUCCCCUGGGCAAGGAAACCGAGAGCUGGCCUGUGCAGGAAAGCACUUUUGGAGAGGGACAAGUUCAGGUGGCCACGGUGGCGCGACAAGGGGAUUUUGGGACGAUGCUCCACCUUCACGUUAGCCAAAAGCAGCAGCCUGGAGAGAGUAUUGAUGAGUUUUGUGGGGUUUGCUGUGGGUUUAGAGGUGACAGACAUCACCGAGGGCAGCCCCAGCUUCAGCUCGGCUCGCACCCUGGCCACUGGCAGCUCCUCGCCCCAGCCUAGCUCCCGGCAGGCUGAUUUCAAUUCUCCUCGUCUGGGGCUGGAAGGGAGGCGAUGUGAAAGGGCCAGGAGAGGGCCCCUUCCCCGGGUAACACUUUAUUUCUUCCAGCAUGGGCGAGUGGAGCCCAAGCCAGCGGCAUCUCCUGGCCGCUGGCACGGUGCAGAGCCAGCACCGUGCCCAGGCACCGCUCCUCCAAGGAGCCACUCAGUUUGCCUGUAA